GUGGGGAAUAUUGCACAAUGGGGGAAACCCUGAUGCAGCGACGCCGCGUGAGGGAAGACGGUUUUCGGAUUGUAAACCUCUGUCUUGUGGGACGAUAGUGACGGUACCACAGGAGGAAGCCAUGGCUAACUACGUGCCAGCAGCCGCGGUAAUACGUAGAUGGCGAGCGUUGUCCGGAAUUACUGGGUGUAAAGGGAGUGUAGGCGGGCUGGUAAGUUGAAUGUGAAACCUUCGGGCUCAACCCGGAGCGUGCGUUCAAAACUGCUGGUCUUGAGUGAAGUAGAGGCAGGCGGAAUUCCCGGUGUAGCGGUGGAAUGCGUAGAUAUCGGGAGGAACACCAGUGGCGAAGGCGGCCUGCUGGGCUUUUACUGACGCUGAGGCUCGAAAGCAUGGGUAGCAAACAGGAUUAGAAACCCCAGUAGUCC
This 425-nucleotide ribosomal RNA is filed under the name uncultured bacterium. RNAcentral's name for it is "bacterial SSU rRNA". It matches the Rfam family "Bacterial small subunit ribosomal RNA", at positions 354 to 796 of the family's 1533-position model. The record is from RNAcentral.